RNAcentral lists this ribosomal RNA (547 nucleotides) under Brachybacterium rhamnosum. Its description in RNAcentral is "bacterial SSU rRNA". It matches the Rfam family "Bacterial small subunit ribosomal RNA", at positions 559 to 1105 of the family's 1533-position model. The record is from RNAcentral. Lineage: Bacteria; Bacillati; Actinomycetota; Actinomycetes; Micrococcales; Dermabacteraceae.
CGUAAAGAGCUUGUAGGUGGCUUGUCGCGUCUGCCGUGAAAACCCGAGGCUCAACCUCGGGCGUGCGGUGGGUACGGGCAGGCUAGAGUGUGGUAGGGGAGACUGGAACUCCUGGUGUAGCGGUGAAAUGCGCAGAUAUCAGGAAGAACACCGAUGGCGAAGGCAGGUCUCUGGGCCAUUACUGACACUGAGAAGCGAAAGCAUGGGGAGCGAACAGGAUUAGAUACCCUGGUAGUCCAUGCCGUAAACGUUGGGCACUAGAUGUGGGGAACAUUCCACGUUUUCCGCGUCGUAGCUAACGCAUUAAGUGCCCCGCCUGGGGAGUACGGCCGCAAGGCUAAAACUCAAAGGAAUUGACGGGGGCCCGCACAAGCGGCGGAGCAUGCGGAUUAAUUCGAUGCAACGCGAAGAACCUUACCAAGGCUUGACAUGCACCGGACGACUCCAGAGAUGGGGUUUUCUUCGGACUGGUGCACAGGUGGUGCAUGGUUGUCGUCAGCUCGUGUCGUGAGAUGUUGGGUUAAGUCCCGCAACGAGCCGCAAAACA